Molecule: ribosomal RNA, 465 nt
Filed under: uncultured bacterium
Lineage: Bacteria
Description: bacterial SSU rRNA
Rfam family: Bacterial small subunit ribosomal RNA
Source: RNAcentral
CCUACGGGAGGCAGCAGUGGGGAAUAUUACACAAUGGACGCAAGCCUGAUGCAGCCAUGCCGCGUGUAUGAAGAAGGCCUUAGGGUUGUAAAGUACUUUCAGUUGGGAGGAAGGCGUUGAUGCUAAUAUCAUCAGCGAUUGACGUUACCAACAGAAGAAGCACCGGCUAACUCCGUGCCAGCAGCCGCGGUAAUACGGAGGGUGCAAGCGUUAAUCGGAAUUACUGGGCGUGAAGCGCACGCAGGCGGUCUGUCAAGUCGGAUGUGAAAUCCCCGGGCUCAACCUGGGAACUGCAUUCGAAACUGGCAGGCAGGAGUCUUGUAGAGGGGGGUAGAAUUCCAGGUGUAGCGGUGAAAUGCGUAGAGAUCUGGAGGAAUACCGGUGGCGAAGGCGGCCCCCUGGACAAAGACUGACGCUCAGGUGCGAAAGCGUGGGGAGCAAACAGGAUUAGAUACCCCCGUAGUC